UUAGUGGCGGACGGGUGAGUAACGCGUGGAAAACCUGCCGUAUACUGGGGGAUAACACUUAGAAAUAGGUGCUAAUACCGCAUAAGCGCACAGCUUCGCAUGAAGUGGUGUGAAAAACUCUGGUGGUAUACGAUGGUUCCGCGUCUGAUUAGCUUGUUGGUGGGGUAACGGCCUACCAAAGCGACGAUCAGUAGCCGGCCUGAGAGGGUGAACGGCCACAUUGGGACUGAGACACGGCCCAAACUCCUACGGGAGGCAGCAG
Molecule: ribosomal RNA, 262 nt
Filed under: uncultured bacterium
Lineage: Bacteria
Description: partial 16S ribosomal RNA
Rfam family: Bacterial small subunit ribosomal RNA
Source: RNAcentral